UAAGAUUGAUCCUGUCUUUUAAAUUUUGAUUAGCUUAUAGAUAAUAUUAAAUAUAAAUUUUUGUGUGUUAUGAAUUUUGUCUAAAGGACUUAUUUUUAUUUUAUUUGUAGUUUUUAAUUUUGAAUAUUGUAUAAUUACAGAUUCAGUUAAUUUAUUUAGAAUUGUUUAAGGUUGUGCCAGCAUACGCGGUUAUACAUCCGAUUCAGGUUAAUUUUUUUGGUUUUUAUUUAUUUAUAUUUUUGAAAAUUAAUUUUUUUUUAUAAAGUGAAAUUUUUAAUUUAAAUUAUAUUUUUUUGGUUUUAGAUAAUAAGAAAUUUAGGAUUUAAACUAGGAUUAGAUACCCUAUUAUUCUAAAUGUAAAAGUUUAACCAUAGUAUUAAUAGUUAUGAUCUUUAAAUUAAAAGGAUUUGGCGGUAAUUUAGUCUUUUCAGAGGAACCUGUUCUGUAAUUGAUAAUCCACGUUGGAUUUAACUUUAGUUUUUGUUUGUAUAUCUCUGUCAUUGAAUGUUCUAUUAGGAUUAAUUUUCUUGAAUUAUUUAUUUAAUUAAUGUCAGGUCAAGGUGCAGCUAUAUUAAAGGUUGAAAUGGGUUACAUUUAAUGUUAAUUUAUUGGAACAUUAUUGUUGGAUAUUAAUUUAAUGUGAAAAAGGAUUUGAAAGUAAUUUUUAUUAUUUUAUAAAAAUGAUUUUAGCUCUAAAUUAUGUACACAUCGCCCGUCGUUCUCAUUAUUAAGAUGAGAUAAGUCGUAACAAAGUAAUUUUACCGGAAGGUGAAGUUGGAAAUAUA
Molecule: non-coding RNA, 785 nt
Filed under: Cebrenistella robusta
Lineage: Eukaryota; Metazoa; Arthropoda; Insecta; Hemiptera; Coreidae
Source: RNAcentral